RNAcentral lists this small nuclear RNA (107 nucleotides) under Echinops telfairi (small Madagascar hedgehog). The record is from RNAcentral. Lineage: Eukaryota; Metazoa; Chordata; Mammalia; Afrosoricida; Tenrecidae.
CUGCUUCUGUAAACAUUUGCAGUAGCACAUAUACUAAAAUUGGAAUGACAGAGAAAUGAGCAUGGGCCCUGAACAAGGAUGACACACCAAUUGGGGAUCAAAAUUGA